This 119-nucleotide small nucleolar RNA is filed under the name Macaca nemestrina (pig-tailed macaque). Its description in RNAcentral is "Small nucleolar RNA SNORA63 (ENSMNEG00000003375.1)". The record is from RNAcentral. Lineage: Eukaryota; Metazoa; Chordata; Mammalia; Primates; Cercopithecidae.
AGGCAGGUACUUUUAGAAUAUAAUUGAAGUGUUUUAUUAUUAUUGUCAUUGCUUAAAGCAUUUGACACAUAACUAUCUCUAACUCCAUUCCAUACUAAGAGAUGUUGCAUCUCAAACAU